GCCUAGCUGGCUUAGUUGGUAAAGCACAUGACUCUUGAUCUCAGGGUUGUGAGUUCAAGCCCCAUAUUGGGCA
RNAcentral lists this transfer RNA (73 nucleotides) under Ailuropoda melanoleuca (giant panda). It matches the Rfam family "tRNA". From Rfam's summary of the family: Transfer RNA (tRNA) molecules are approximately 80 nucleotides in length. Lineage: Eukaryota; Metazoa; Chordata; Mammalia; Carnivora; Ursidae. The record is from Rfam by way of RNAcentral.